This 1604-nucleotide long non-coding RNA is filed under the name Aquilegia coerulea. Its description in RNAcentral is "long non-coding RNA (ACOE_LNC001608)". Lineage: Eukaryota; Viridiplantae; Streptophyta; Magnoliopsida; Ranunculales; Ranunculaceae. The record is from RNAcentral.
AGCCCACCCCCAAAAUCCACCUCCCCUUGGGACAUUCUUUUAGGCUACAAGGUGGAUUUAUCCACCCCACCCCCAAAAUCCACCUUGCAUUGGGAAUGCUCUUACAGAAAACAUUUGGGUAUUUCCACCAGCUCCUUGUGCAGCUCUUUAUGAGAAUAUGUGGUAUCGGAAAAAUUAGGCUAACUGCUUUAGUAUCUGGAGCUCAUCUGCCAGCUUCCUGUGCACCCACACAAGUCAGGUUGUAGAGGUUUUAUUUUUGGCAGAUUUGUGUAGUGGUAAGAGAAGUUGAAGUUACAACACAAUUAUAACGUCAAGAAGUGUUGUUCUAUGUCGCAAAAUGGAGACAGAUAUAAACAUGGAAGUUAUGGCCUUGUCAAAUCAAGACUCCAUCAAAACCAGCAGCAGGAACCAGUGAAUGUUGUUGUCACUACUUUUGUAACAGACUGGGAAAUUCUUGAGGUACUGCACUGUUUUUCAUUUUUUUGUUUUUUUUUCCUUCUCAUUCAUUCAUUUAAGAUUCGAGAGAAUAAGCUAGAUCUAAUUGGUUUUGAGUAAGAGAGGGAAAAAAAUUGUAACUUUCCAGUUAAUGGAGUUGAUUAGAUUGAGGUUAUGAUCUUAUCAGAUAACUUAAGGUUUUCUUAUAAAAUCAGCCCAUUUUGCAUGUAUGUCAAAAGCAAUUGCCAAUUUGAGUUUGCCAAAAUUGUGUUUUUUUAGUCUGUGGGCGGCAUGAUGUUUUAGAUAUUUAUUUAUACUGUUCUUCCAGCUGCUUGACUAAAUAGAGUUUGGUCUUUCUCUCAUUUGUGUGAACCUGUUUUUACUGGUCUCUAAUUUUUCUUUCUUCCAGUUCCUAGCAAGAAUCGGUGGUAUAGUAUUAUAUUAAGCGAAAGAAAAUAUAAAGCAGUGAUGGAGUCUCUAAUUUUCAUGCACAAAAUGAAGGGGAGGUCAACUCUGACAAGAUAGUGCAGGCCAUAAAAGCUGCUGCCUGAAGUUGGCUAAACAUCAGCGAAAGAGCCUCCUGUAUACCCUGCAUUCUAACCUUUGUUUUUGCCAUUUCAUCAGGUUUCAGACAUCACCAGUCGCAACCCAUACAGGAGGUCAGUGUAACGAAUGUUCUGUCUCAGUUCCAUGGAAGUAUGGUGGAAGCAGCCUGGGGCAGCAACAGCUGAACUCCGCAGCAGCAAACUCUUGGUUUGUAUUCUGUAAGUGUUUUAUUUUUUGCAUCUCUAUGGUUUUCAUAUGGGGUUAACUGGCGGUGCAUUGCACAUGCUGACCAGUAUUGUACUCUCUGUUUUUAUUAAUGAAAUUUUUACCUUUGAUAAAAAAAAAGGAAGCAGGCUACUCCAAGUGUUGGGUUUGUGCAAGACCUGAUUCGAUCUAUAUUGUGGCCACUACAGUAUGAUUAUGCGUUAACAGGCUUUCUUGUAAUUAGUAAACUUUUAGGCCAUAAUAAAGACAUGUUGGUAGUAUCAUGUAAACAGGCUUUCUUGUAAAGUUGUAAUUAGUAUGUAUAUUGGCCACUACAGUAUGAUUGUGUAAUGACUUCAACUGGGAAAACACAUUUGUAAAUUGGCACCAAUGUUGCAUCCAGUGACAUGUGAUUUGCC